CCUACAGAGGCAGCAGUGAGGAAUAUUGGUCAAUGGACGAGAGUCUGAACCAGCCAAGUAGCGUGAAGGAUGGCUGCCCUAUGGGUUGUAAACUUCUUUUAUAUGGGAAUAAAAUGUUCCACGUGUGGGAUUUUGUAUGUACCAUAUGAAUAAGGAUCGGCUAACUCCGUGCCAGCAGCCGCGGUAAUACGGAGGGUCCGAGCGUUAUCCGGAUUUAUUGGGUUUAAAGGGAGCGUAGGUGGAUUGUUAAGUCAGUUGUGAAAGUUUGCGGCUCAACCGUAAAAUUGCAGUUGAAACUGGCAGUCUUGAGUACAGUAGAGGUAGGCGGAAUUCGUGGUGUAGCGGUGAAAUGCUUAGAUAUCACGAAGAACUCCGAUUGCGAAGGCAGUUCACUGGACUGCAACUGACACUGAGGCUCGAAAGUGUGGGUAUCAAACAGGAUUAGAUACCCGGGUAGUC
RNAcentral lists this ribosomal RNA (459 nucleotides) under uncultured bacterium. RNAcentral describes it as "partial 16S ribosomal RNA". It matches the Rfam family "Bacterial small subunit ribosomal RNA", at positions 338 to 795 of the family's 1533-position model. The record is from RNAcentral.